RNAcentral lists this ribosomal RNA (500 nucleotides) under uncultured bacterium. RNAcentral's name for it is "partial 16S ribosomal RNA". It matches the Rfam family "Bacterial small subunit ribosomal RNA", at positions 30 to 523 of the family's 1533-position model. The record is from RNAcentral.
AUUGAACGCUGGCGGCAUGCUUUACACAUGCAAGUCGAACGGUAACAGGGUGCUUGCACCGCUGACGAGUGGCGAACGGGUGAGUAAUGCGUCGGAACGUGCCGAGUAGUGGGGGAUAACGCAUCGAAAGGUGUGCUAAUACCGCAUACGUACUGAGGUAGAAAGUGGGGGACCUUCGGGCCUCACGCUAUUCGAGCGGCCGACGUCUGAUUAGCUAGUUGGUGAGGUAAAGGCUCACAAAGGCGACGAUCAGUAGCGGGUCUGAGAGGAUGGUGCGCCACACUGGGACCGGGACAGGGCCAAGAUUGCUAGGGGAGGCAGGAGUGGGUAAUUUUGUACAAUGGGCGCGCGCCUGAUCCAGCCAUGCCGCGUGUCUGAAGAAGGCCUUCGGGUUGUAAAGGCCUUUUGUCCGGGAGCAAAUACCCAGUGCUAAUAACGCGGGGUGCUGAGAGUACCGGAAGAAUAAGCACCGGCUAACUACGUGCCAGCCGCCGCAGUAA